RNAcentral lists this ribosomal RNA (805 nucleotides) under marine metagenome. RNAcentral describes it as "bacterial SSU rRNA". It matches the Rfam family "Bacterial small subunit ribosomal RNA", at positions 89 to 896 of the family's 1533-position model. The record is from RNAcentral.
UGACGAGUGGCGGACGGGUGAGUAAUGCUUGGGAACUUGCCUUUGCGAGGGGGAUAACAGUUGGAAACGACUGCUAAUACCGCAUAAUGUCUACGGACCAAACGGGGCUUAGGCUCCGGCGCAAAGAGAGGCCCAAGUGAGAUUAGCUAGUUGGUAAGGUAAUGGCUUACCAAGGCAACGAUCUCUAGCUGUUCUGAGAGGAAGAUCAGCCACACUGGAACUGAGACACGGUCCAGACUCCUACGGGAGGCAGCAGUGGGGAAUAUUGCACAAUGGGGGAAACCCUGAUGCAGCCAUGCCGCGUGUGUGAAGAAGGCCUUCGGGUUGUAAAGCACUUUCAGUUGUGAGGAAAAGUUAGUAGUUAAUACCUGCUAGCCGUGACGUUAACAACAGAAGAAGCACCGGCUAACUCCGUGCCAGCAGCCGCGGUAAUACGGAGGGUGCGAGCGUUAAUCGGAAUUACUGGGCGUAAAGCGCACGCAGGCGGUUUGUUAAGCUAGAUGUGAAAGCCCCGGGCUCAACCUGGGAUAGUCAUUUAGAACUGGCAGACUAGAGUCUUGGAGAGGGGAGUGGAAUUCCAGGUGUAGCGGUGAAAUGCGUAGAUAUCUGGAGGAACAUCAGUGGCGAAGGCGACUCCCUGGCCAAAGACUGACGCUCAUGUGCGAAAGUGUGGGUAGCGAACAGGAUUAGAUACCCUGGUAGUCCACACCGUAAACGCUGUCUACUAGCUGUUUGUGACUUUAAGUCGUGAGUAGCGAAGCUAACGCGCUAAGUAGACCGCCUGGGGAGUACGGCCGCAAGGUUA